GACCUCAGAUCAGGUAGGGAUACCCGCUGAACUUAAGCAUAUCAAUAAGCGGAGGA
Molecule: ribosomal RNA, 56 nt
Filed under: Peziza sp. GYYL_G005
Lineage: Eukaryota; Fungi; Ascomycota; Pezizomycetes; Pezizales; Pezizaceae
Also listed under: 2 other names
Description: partial 28S ribosomal RNA
Source: RNAcentral